AUACAAUGCACAAUAAUUUAUUGUAACGUGUUUACAAUCCUACACUGUAAACUCGGCAUUACUCAUUAAUGUGCAAAAAAUACACAUUUUUUGAUGACAUAUGAAGCUGUCAAAAUAAUGGGUAUUUUGAAAUUUUGUAUAAUGCGUGAAUUGUGCCCAUUUUCAUACUCCAAGCAUUUACCCAUUAAUGGGUGAAAAACGAAUUAAGCUGUUUGUGAUUUCAGAAGCAGAAGUGGCAGGCGUUAUUUCGACAAAUUCUUGGUUAAACAAAACUGUUAGCUAAUUAUCGCUCAAUCGCCUACAUAAAAUCUUGGCGAAAAUGUACCCCCGCGGGAAUUCACCUCGACGGACACAGCGGAUUACAACACGACGACAUUUAGACGUAUUUCCUGGAAGCAGAGGCCUUGGUGGACGGCCACUUACGAAUCUGGGACUGGGCGCUUGCUUCAAAUCAAACUUCAGCUGCUCCUCGUAUUUGCAGGAUGGAGAAAUCUUCCCGGAAAGGCCCGGCUGGAGGCCACUCAUGGAUGUGGCUCUGCACUGAUCGCCUCAAACCAAACUUCAGUUGCUUCGUGCUCCGCAUAUAUGCAGCUUAGCAGAAACCUUGGCGGACGGCCACUUACGGGUCUGAUCUCACCCAUGGGUCUGAUCGGUUUACUUCAAAUCAACAUGAAUGCAUCUGACAUCUUGAGUUUGUUGUACCUAUAUUUUUAAUAAUCUAAAUAUAUUGAAAUAAAAAUUUGAACAUUCCAGGAAAAAAUCCUAAA
This is a long non-coding RNA of Armigeres subalbatus, 767 nucleotides long. RefSeq lists it as uncharacterized. NCBI's taxonomy places the organism in Eukaryota, Metazoa, Arthropoda, Insecta, Diptera, Culicidae. The transcript is spliced from 2 exons. The record is from RefSeq and is a predicted model, not a curated record.